This is a long non-coding RNA of Serinus canaria (Common canary), 639 nucleotides long. RefSeq lists it as uncharacterized. The transcript is spliced from 4 exons. NCBI's taxonomy places the organism in Eukaryota, Metazoa, Chordata, Aves, Passeriformes, Fringillidae. The record is from RefSeq and is a predicted model, not a curated record.
CUGCUGCUCUUCUGUUCUGUUCAGACCCAGAGUACAACAUGAGAUCAAGAUGUGCCCAAAUGUCUGCGGCUGGGCUAGAAGUACCCCUGGAAAAUGAUCUGUAGAAUUAGAUGGAAUUAGAACGGGGAUUUUGUAAAACUUCUUAAGCUCAUAGACUGAAUUGAAAAGGGGAAAGGAACCUGUUUUUUUGAAUCCAGCUUUGACAUAACUCUGAAUAAUGGAAAUGGAACUGGACAAGACAUUUUGAAGAACUUUCUACAGUCCAAGCUUUGAGGAAUCUCACAGAACAGUUAAUGAAGGUUCCUGAUCUCCUUACACAUCGAGCAGUGGGAGCUGUACCCAAUCUGCCAGCUACAUGAGUGAACCCCAUCCCUCUGGCCUGGAGAGGUUUGGACAUAACGUCAUCCCUGCCUGGGGGCUUGCCCACAGGAAACUGGAGCAGCAUUUAUCCUCGAAGAGCUUCCUGUGGGAGUCAUUCCUCUUCUCAACUCACAUACCCCUGCUGCUAGGGCAGAGAAAUCCUCCGUCAGUCUCUCCAUGGAUGAGAUGUAGGCCAAUAAUGGGGCACAGAUAGUUUCUUCAUGUGUCUGGAGUCUGCCAAACCAGAAUGCCCACUUCUUCUUCUCCCUCCUUCCAUGC